Molecule: ribosomal RNA, 210 nt
Filed under: uncultured bacterium
Lineage: Bacteria
Description: partial 16S ribosomal RNA
Rfam family: Bacterial small subunit ribosomal RNA
Source: RNAcentral
UACGGAGGGUGCAAGCGUUGUUCGGAAUCAUUGGGCGUAAAGCGCGUGUAGGCGGCUUGGCAAGUCGGAUGUGAAAUCUCCCGGCUCAACUGGGAGGGGUCAUUCGAUACUGGCGGGCUCGAGGCCGGUAGGGGGAAGUGGAAUUCCCGGUGUAGUGGUGGAAUGCGUAGAUAUCGGGAGGAACACCAGUGGCGAAGGCGGCUCCUGGAC